AAUUGACGGAAGGGCACCACC
This 21-nucleotide non-coding RNA is filed under the name Chlamydomonas reinhardtii. The record is from RNAcentral. RNAcentral also lists the same sequence under 2 other names. Lineage: Eukaryota; Viridiplantae; Chlorophyta; Chlorophyceae; Chlamydomonadales; Chlamydomonadaceae.